AUGGGUUUUCAUCCUGAAGUUGUAAUUGGUGCUCUUGGUGGCCCUGAAAUUGUAAUCGGUGCCCUUGGCGACCCUGCCUUUGGUGGCCCCGAAGUUGUAAUCGGUGCCCUUGGUGGCCCUGCCUUUGGUGGUCCCGAAGUUGUAAUUGGUGCUCUUGGUUGCCCUGCCUUUGGUGGUCCUGAAGGUGUAACUGGUGGCUUUGGUUCUGAAGCUGUAACUGGUGCCCUUGGUGGCCCUGCCUUUGGUGGCCCUGAAGUUGUAAUCGGUACCCUUGGGGGCCCUUCCUUUGGUGGUCCCGAAGUUGAAAUUGGUGCUCUUGGUAGCCCUGCCUUUGGUGGUCCUGAAGUUGUAACUGGUGGCUCUGGUUCUGAAGCUGUAACUAGUGCCCUUGGUGACCCUGCCUUUGGUGGCCCCAAAGUUGUAAUAAGUACCCUUGGGGGCCCUUCCUUUGGUGGCCCCGAAGUUGAAAUUGGUGCUCUUGGUGGCCCUGCCUUUGGUGGUCCUGAAGGUGUAACUGGUGGCUCUGGUUCUGAAGCUGUAACUGUGAGAACAAAUACAACUAGUAGAUGAAAAAUUGCAACAAACACUUUCUUCAUUUUGUAAAACGAAUUUCUAUCUCAAUAAACUUUU
Glycine soja is the source of this 630-nucleotide RNA transcript. It is a transcript of the gene named myosin heavy chain IB-like, with no coding region annotated. NCBI's taxonomy places the organism in Eukaryota, Viridiplantae, Streptophyta, Magnoliopsida, Fabales, Fabaceae. The transcript has 2 exons. The record is from RefSeq and is a predicted model, not a curated record.